Molecule: ribosomal RNA, 1171 nt
Filed under: Escherichia coli
Lineage: Bacteria; Pseudomonadati; Pseudomonadota; Gammaproteobacteria; Enterobacterales; Enterobacteriaceae
Description: bacterial LSU rRNA
Rfam family: Bacterial large subunit ribosomal RNA
Source: RNAcentral
UGGAGCUGAAAUCAGUCGAAGAUACCAGCUGGCUGCAACUGUUUAUUAAAAACACAGCACUGUGCAAACACGAAAGUGGACGUAUACGGUGUGACGCCUGCCCGGUGCCGGAAGGUUAAUUGAUGGGGUUAGCGGUAACGCGAAGCUCUUGAUCGAAGCCCCGGUAAACGGCGGCCGUAACUAUAACGGUCCUAAGGUAGCGAAAUUCCUUGUCGGGUAAGUUCCGACCUGCACGAAUGGCGUAAUGAUGGCCAGGCUGUCUCCACCCGAGACUCAGUGAAAUUGAACUCGCUGUGAAGAUGCAGUGUACCCGCGGCAAGACGGAAAGACCCCGUGAACCUUUACUAUAGCUUGACACUGAACAUUGAGCCUUGAUGUGUAGGAUAGGUGGGAGGCUUAGAAGUGUGGACGCCAGUCUGCAUGGAGCCGAUCUUGAAAUACCACCCUUUAAUGUUUGAUGUUCUAACGUUGACCCGUAAUCCGGGUUGCGGACAGUGUCUGGUGGGUAGUUUGACUGGGGCGGUCUCCUCCUAAAGAGUAACGGAGGAGCACGAAGGUUGGCUAAUCCUGGUCGGACAUCAGGAGGUUAGUGCAAUGGCAUAAGCCAGCUUGACUGCGAGCGUGACGGCGCGAGCAGGUGCGAAAGCAGGUCAUAGUGAUCCGGUGGUUCUGAAUGGAAGGGCCAUCGCUCAACGGAUAAAAGGUACUCCGGGGAUAACAGGCUGAUACCGCCCAAGAGUUCAUAUCGACGGCGGUGUUUGGCACCUCGAUGUCGGCUCAUCACAUCCUGGGGCUGAAGUAGGUCCCAAGGGUAUGGCUGUUCGCCAUUUAAAGUGGUACGCGAGCUGGGUUUAGAACGUCGUGAGACAGUUCGGUCCCUAUCUGCCGUGGGCGCUGGAGAACUGAGGGGGGCUGCUCCUAGUACGAGAGGACCGGAGUGGACGCAUCACUGGUGUUCGGGUUGUCAUGCCAAUGGCACUGCCCGGUAGCUAAAUGCGGAAGAGAUAAGUGCUGAAAGCAUCUAAGCACGAAACUUGCCCCGAGAUGAGUUCUCCCUGACUCCUUGAGAGUCCUGAAGGAACGUUGAAGACGACGACGUUGAUAGGCCGGGUGUGUAAGCGCAGCGAUGCGUUGAGCUAACCGGUACUAAUGAACCGUGAGGCUUAACCUU